Pseudoliparis swirei is the source of this 994-nucleotide long non-coding RNA. RefSeq lists it as uncharacterized. The transcript has 4 exons. The record is from RefSeq and is a predicted model, not a curated record. NCBI's taxonomy places the organism in Eukaryota, Metazoa, Chordata, Actinopteri, Perciformes, Liparidae.
CAGGUGUCAGUGAUCAGGCUGAUCACAGCAAUCAACAACAACAAAAAGCAGAUUGAACUGUUGAACCCGGUUUCGCGCCUCUUCUCCGCAGUUUGAGCGGCGCGCUGCUCUCCUGCUUCAGUGACUCAGGAAACACCACAGAGGGAACGACAGCCUCCUGACAUGACAGCUCUUCUUGAGACAUUAUAAUCCAACUUGGAUGGAACAACUUCGUGACCUUAAUGACACCCAGCAACACGAUGUUUUUUUCUUUAUUUGUGUUAGAGACGCACACAAGCACCACAGGGGAGGAUCUGCAGCAAAGGGCCCACCGGAAAUCAAACCUUGGCCGCCAUGAUGACGACAACAUGGGGCACUUGAGUGUGAAUCUAGCCUUUUCAUUUUUAUUUACAACAUUAGCAUUGAAAAGAGUAAAAGUUGAUGCUUGAGAUGAUUUUGUUUUUACUGAAGAGGAUGUAUGUCCUCCCUUUGUCCUUUAUCCCCUUACUCUUUCUUUUUAGGUGUGAUUACGACUACCAGCAUGAACCUCAACGCCUUCUUUGCUGUUCCACUAGUGUGACCCAUGAUCUGAUACAAGUUGUCAAGGAUAAACGGGAAGAGAAUCAUGUCAGCCCACAGACAACCGGUUGACCUGUGAGUCUUCAAGCAGUAAUGAUGACUACGCCUGCCUUAAGUUCCAGUUUCCUGAACAUCAUGUCGGCAUGAGAUUCUGUCCCCACCUGUCUUCAGUCUGGACCCAAUGAGGUUUUUUUUUUUACAGUGCGUUUACAGUCACAUGGUUUAUUUCGAGGCUUUGUCUGAGUUUCAGUGCUGCAGUUAUUUACCAUUCAGGGUUGUUCAGAAACAUCCAAUUUGUCACUCAUUUGAAGGGCUUGCUGCUGUGAUUCUUUUGUGUAUACCAGGAUUUCUUUGUAUUUUGGCAUUUUACACAAAUGUUUUUGAAAGAUGGUCAACAAAGCUGCACAAAUAAAUGUUUACAUGCUGUUAUCCUAAA